GACGAACGCUGGCGGCGUGCUUAACACAUGCAAGUCGAACGGAAAGGCCCUGCUUUUGUGGGGUGCUCGAGUGGCGAACGGGUGAGUAACACGUGAGUAACCUGCCCUUGACUUUGGGAUAACUUCAGGAAACUGGGGCUAAUACCGGAUAGGAGCUCCUGCUGCAUGGUGGGGGUUGGAAAGUUUCGGCGGUUGGGGAUGGACUCGCGGCUUAUCAGCUUGUUGGUGGGGUAGUGGCUUACCAAGGCUUUGACGGGUAGCCGGCCUGAGAGGGUGACCGGCCACAUUGGGACUGAGAUACGGCCCAGACUCCUACGGGAGGCAGCAGUGGGGAAUAUUGCACAAUGGGCGGAAGCCUGAUGCAGCAACGCCGCGUGCGGGAUGACGGCCUUCGGGUUGUAAACCGCUUUCGCCUGUGACGAAGCGUGAGUGACGGUAAUGGGUAAAGAAGCACCGGCUAACUACGUGCCAGCAGCCGCGGUGAUACGUAGGGUGCGAGCGUUGUCCGGAUUUAUUGGGCGUAAAGGGCUCGUAGGUGGUUGAUCGCGUCGGAAGUGUAAUCUUGGGGCUUAACCCUGAGCGUGCUUUCGAUACGGGUUGACUUGAGGAAGGUAGGGGAGAAUGGAAUUCCUGGUGGAGCGGUGGAAUGCGCAGAUAUCAGGAGGAACACCAGUGGCGAAGGCGGUUCUCUGGGCCUUUCCUGACGCUGAGGAGCGAAAGCGUGGGGAGCGAACAGGCUUAGAUACCCUGGUAGUCCACGCUGUAAACGGUGGGUACUAGGUGUGGGGUCCAUUCCACGGGUUCCGUGCCGUAGCUAACGCUUUAAGUACCCCGCCUGGGGAGUACGGCCGCAAGGCUAAAACUCAAAGGAAUUGGCGGGGCCCCGCACAAGCGGCGGAGCAUGCGGAUUAAUUCGAUGCAACGCGUAGAACCUUACCUGGGUUUGACAUGGAUCGGGAGUGCUCAGAGAUGGGUGUGCCUCUUUUGGGGUCGGUUCACAGGUGGUGCAUGCCUGUCGUCAGCUCGUGUCGUGAGAUGUUGGGUUAAGUCCCGCAACGAGCGCAACCCUUGUUCACUGUUGCCAGCACGUUAUGGUGGGGACUCAGUGGAGACCGCCGGGGUCAACUCGGAGGAAGGUGGGGAUGACGUCAAGUCCUCAUGCCCCUUAUGUCCAGGGCUUCACGCAUGCUACAAUGGCUGGUACAGAGAGUGGCGAGCCUGUGAGGGUGAGCGAAUCUCGGAAAGCCGGUCUCAGUUCGGAUUGGGGUCUGCAACUCGACCUCAUGAAGUCGGAGUCGCUAGUAAUCGCAGAUCAGCAACGCUGCGGUGAAUACGUUCCCGGGGCU
RNAcentral lists this ribosomal RNA (1346 nucleotides) under uncultured bacterium. RNAcentral describes it as "bacterial SSU rRNA". It matches the Rfam family "Bacterial small subunit ribosomal RNA", at positions 28 to 1381 of the family's 1533-position model. The record is from RNAcentral.